AUGUGGCUGAACUGAAAGGAGGUCUUCAGCCGGGCACCACUUGAUCGGCAUAUCAAGAUUUCAUGGUCCCAUGUAUGGGGUCAUUUUUAUUUAUGCCACAAAGGUCAGAAACUAGUCAAUAACAAGGCGCCUCUACGAUUAUACGCCAUCAAGGAUGAAGAUCAGCUUCAGUUUGUCCAGAAUCAAUCAUCAACAAACCAGCCGGACAAACGAAGGGAUGGCAUGCUUCUUAUCGACAGCUUGUGACAUAAGGUUAUUUGUCCUUGAACAGAUGAUGAUGGAGGAGAGUCACUGGAAACUGCGCUGAAAGAGAGAAACUCGAGAUGUUUUAAACCCUCAGGUUCACAAUUUUAUGGUAGGUUGUAAAGGAAAAUCCGAACCUUCAAAGUGCUCAGGGGAUUUUGUGUAGGCCAAAGAUGAGUUUAGCCGUGUAAAGUUUCAUGAACUGAAAACCAUUUUUUAUGAAUUCAAUUUUCUGUUUUGAAUCAGAGCGGCAGAAUACAAGUUUCUACUGCAUCUAGGACGGCAAAUAUAUUCCGUCUCAUGUUCUCGUUACGCCAAAGAUUCAAUUAACCUUACAUAGCAGAUAGAACAUGAGGUGCAGGGGAAGCUCAUUCUCUCUGGCAAAAAAUGCUCAAUUUCACAAUUUGUCAAGGCAAAAUAAGUAGUAAAGAAAUCUGCUUGUCUUGAGCAUAUACAACAAAGAAAUUCCCUGGCUGAGACCUGUGAAGGAAGAAAAUUUGUAUCGCUCAGAUUUUGAUUCGAGUAAAGAAUCAACAGCUUCACAGCCGCAACAGAACUUUCAUGUGUGAUGGCAAACAUAUUCUGGAGGAGUUACUGGUAUCACUACGCCGAUGCUUUCCACAUACAUGAACCAGUAAAACUACUUCACUGUACCCUUUCAUGGGAAUUAUUUGCAGAAUAAGUAUAUCAGGUAAGAUUUUAUUCGCGUUUAAAGGCAGUGAAAAUAUGGAAUAUAUGACGAUAU
Tripterygium wilfordii is the source of this 988-nucleotide long non-coding RNA. RefSeq lists it as uncharacterized. Lineage: Eukaryota; Viridiplantae; Streptophyta; Magnoliopsida; Celastrales; Celastraceae. The record is from RefSeq and is a predicted model, not a curated record. The transcript has 3 exons.